This 670-nucleotide ribosomal RNA is filed under the name Enterococcus avium. Its description in RNAcentral is "bacterial SSU rRNA". It matches the Rfam family "Bacterial small subunit ribosomal RNA", at positions 1 to 644 of the family's 1533-position model. Lineage: Bacteria; Bacillati; Bacillota; Bacilli; Lactobacillales; Enterococcaceae. The record is from RNAcentral.
UUUUUAGNNUUUNNNNCCCCCGUCAGGACGAACGCUGGCGGCGUGCCUAAUACAUGCAAGUCGAACGCUUUUUCUUUCACCGGAGCUUGCUCCACCGAAAGAAAAGGAGUGGCGAACGGGUGAGUAACACGUGGGUAACCUGCCCAUCAGAAGGGGAUAACACUUGGAAACAGGUGCUAAUACCGUAUAACAAUCGAAACCGCAUGGUUUCGGUUUGAAAGGCGCUUUUGCGUCACUGAUGGAUGGACCCGCGGUGCAUUAGCUAGUUGGUGAGGUAACGGCUCACCAAGGCAACGAUGCAUAGCCGACCUGAGAGGGUGAUCGGCCACAUUGGGACUGAGACACGGCCCAAACUCCUACGGGAGGCAGCAGUAGGGAAUCUUCGGCAAUGGACGCAAGUCUGACCGAGCAACGCCGCGUGAGUGAAGAAGGUUUUCGGAUCGUAAAACUCUGUUGUUAGAGAAGAACAAGGAUGAGAGUAGAAUGUUCAUCCCUUGACGGUAUCUAACCAGAAAGCCACGGCUAACUACGUGCCAGCAGCCGCGGUAAUACGUAGGUGGCAAGCGUUGUCCGGAUUUAUUGGGCGUAAAGCGAGCGCAGGCGGUUUCUUAAGUCUGAUGUGAAAGCCCCCGGCUCAACCGGGGAGGGUCAUUGGAAACUGGGAAACUGA